CCUACGGGAGGCAGCAGUGGGGAAUAUUGGGCAAUGGGCGCAAGCCUGACCCAGCAAUGCCGCGUGAAGGAAGAAGGCUUUCGGGUUGUAAACUUCUUUGACAGGGGAAGAGCAGAAGACGGUACCCUGAAAACAAGCCACGGCUAACUACGUGCCAGCAGCCGCGGUAAUACGUAGGUGGCAAGCGUUGUCCGGAUUUACUGGGUGUAAAGGGCGUGUAGCCGGGAAGGCAAGUCAGAUGUGAAAUCUGGAGGCUCAACCUCCAAAUUGCAUUUGAAACUGGUGUUCUUGAGUACUGGAGAGGCAGACGGAAUUCCUUGUGUAGCGGUGAAAUGCGUAGAUAUAAGGAGGAACACCAGUGGCGAAGGCGGUCUGCUGGACAGCAACUGACGGUGAGGCGCGAAAGCGUGGGGAGCAAACAGGAUUAGAUACCCCAGUAGUC
Molecule: ribosomal RNA, 442 nt
Filed under: uncultured bacterium
Lineage: Bacteria
Description: partial 16S ribosomal RNA
Rfam family: Bacterial small subunit ribosomal RNA
Source: RNAcentral